UUCUUAUCCAGAGAGGUGGAGGGACUGGCCCUGCGAAACCCGGCAACCGCUACAUAUGUAGCAAGGUGCCAAAUCCUACUGAGCUUCAAGGCUCGGGAAGAUAAGAG
This 107-nucleotide non-coding RNA is filed under the name Salimicrobium flavidum. RNAcentral's name for it is "SAM-I sequence". It matches the Rfam family "SAM riboswitch aptamer (S box leader)". Rfam says of the family: The SAM riboswitch is found upstream of a number of genes which code for proteins involved in methionine or cysteine biosynthesis in Gram-positive bacteria. The SAM riboswitch acts at the level of transcription termination control. The record is from RNAcentral. Lineage: Bacteria; Bacillati; Bacillota; Bacilli; Caryophanales; Bacillaceae.